Long non-coding RNA from Haliotis rubra (blacklip abalone), 210 nucleotides. RefSeq lists it as uncharacterized. Lineage: Eukaryota; Metazoa; Mollusca; Gastropoda; Lepetellida; Haliotidae. The transcript has 3 exons. The record is from RefSeq and is a predicted model, not a curated record.
AUAGUAAAUCAAUUUUGAGAAGAGAAAUCAUUUAUCAUUUAAUCACAACAAAGUUCUAUUUACCCACAAUCAAACUUCUCAGUAACGAUCCUGUUUCAGGCUCACCCUGCUCAACUCACAAGACAGCGGACUGUUCCAUUAUGCCUAUAUGUGUUACCCUAAUUAACCUUCUAGUUCAGUGUCUGUCAAUUGGGUGCCUGUAAAAUGGGU